This is a non-coding RNA of Mycena latifolia, 93 nucleotides long. NCBI's taxonomy places the organism in Eukaryota, Fungi, Basidiomycota, Agaricomycetes, Agaricales, Mycenaceae. The record is from the annotation of a GenBank genome assembly.
UCGGACAUGGUGUACGGUACACGGCCUCCUCUCCUUGAGCUGCAUGCGACAAGUUGUGCGAGGCAAAUUGGGGUUCGACUCCCCGUGUCCGAA